Molecule: small RNA, 83 nt
Filed under: Marmota monax (woodchuck)
Lineage: Eukaryota; Metazoa; Chordata; Mammalia; Rodentia; Sciuridae
Source: RNAcentral
GCUGGGUGUGGUGGUGCACACCUGUAAUCCCAAAGGCUCAGGAGGCUGAGGCAAGAGGAGUGUGAGUUAAAAGCCAGCCUCAA